Molecule: long non-coding RNA, 1770 nt
Organism: Phascolarctos cinereus (koala)
Lineage: Eukaryota; Metazoa; Chordata; Mammalia; Diprotodontia; Phascolarctidae
Source: Ensembl
GGACCCUGAACGCCGCCGCGUCAGUCCGCCUAGUUUGCCUCCUGGGAAAGAGGGAAUCUCUUCACGCUAGGGUGAAUCAGCCCAUCCUCUCCCAGACGCAGCUCGGAGGGGGCUUACCCCGCGGCAAGAGGAGGAGGAGGAGGAGUCCCGUGAAACUCUCGGUGGGUAACACACGCUCCCCUUCCUAGAGGAAGGGACAGCUCUCCCCGCCCCCAGGCGUCUGGGUCAUUUCAGGCAGACCCAGAAAGACUCACAGUUGGGGGAACCGUGUAUCCUGGGGGUGGGGGGAAGCAGGACAUCCCGAGUCGUCGAGCACUUUAUUCCCCAGCAGUCACCUAAGGAAACAUCAUUCAGCCCACUCAGCGUCCCCCUCUUACUUACACACACACACACACACACACACACAGUACUAAGGAGAUCGUCCUCCUGCACCCACGUGCGUGCACCACCGCAUCCCCCGCCUUGGCACGAGAGGCAUUGCCUCCAUCCACAUCCCAGGACGCCCCGAGCGAAGGCUCCAAUGCCAGGGAAGUGGGUGGCGUAUUAUUUUGGGGACGACUGAGCGGAGGCUCCAUACUCCGGAUGGGUAUGUCCGGGGCCACCGAGCGGGGGCUCCAUCCUCAGGGGGGUAGAAGUGGGGGGGGCUUUACAGCCCGACCAAAGGGAGAUCCCUCGCUACUCAGCCGAGGCUCUGCGGCCAGACUUCGAGCUGGCUACCUGGACAUCCUGGCAACCAUUAACCCAACAAUCCAACUCGCCCGCUUAGAGCGAACGCCUGCCGGAUCUGCUCCAGGCGAGGGGCACGCAUACAAAGACAAGAAAAGGGGUUUCCAAAGCAGCAUGCCUGUCCUCCAGAAGACCACAAGCAAGUCCCCGGCCGUCUGCCAACCCUUUAGCCCUUACCUCCUGCAGCCCGGGACAAUUGGGGGGUGGGGGGGAGGCCGAGGCUCCCGAGCGAGACCCUUCCACUAAGCUGGUGGAUCGUCCUCCUCCUCCUGCCGUCCUCUGCAACACUUGCAAGACCACUUUUUUCCCUGGGGAAAAAAAAAAGAGGGGAGCAGCCCGGGGAGAGAGAGGGCCUUCUGUCCUCCGCAAGCGGGUCCCUGGGAUGGGCAGCGGUGGGGAGCAGUGGGGGACGCUGCUGCCUCUGCCCCGGCUGCAGCCACAAGCUUCUUUACCAUUCAAACCUCUGGCCGCCCUGGCUCCUGCACCCCGCCCCCCCACCUCGUUGCCCCGAAGCUCCCGAGGAAACCAGGAACUGGAGCCCAGGAGAAUGGAACGGAGCUCCGGGAGCAGGAGGCAGAGGGCAAAGGGCUGGAGACAGGGGGCGCUGCGGGACGGAGGAGAAGAGGACGCAGGACGGGAAAGGAGGGCAGAUUCUCCUAGAGUCCCAAUUCUAUUCCAACAUUCCCACCACCACACACACCCAGUCCCUGCUCUUAGUUACCUACCCCCGGGUCUGGAAAGUGAAAAUUGUUUUCUCUAGAGCAAUCUUUUUUGUUUUAAAUCCCCCUCGAACACAGGACCUCUGUUUCGCCCUCCAAACCCCAGAUGGGGAAGAAGCACCGAGAAGAAUGCUCUCAAGGGAUGAGAAGAGGAAGAAAGAAGAAUGGUUUCCCUCCAGUGCAUUUUUGCAAGAAUCUUUUCCCUAUCUGUGUAACUGGAAUGUGCAUUUGCCACUAUGUCACCAGCAGCACUACCACCACCCCUGUUUCUCCUAACUACUACUUAAACUCUAAUAAAUUGUUUAAAGGAACAGGGGACCCUCCA